RNAcentral lists this ribosomal RNA (462 nucleotides) under uncultured bacterium. RNAcentral describes it as "partial 16S ribosomal RNA". It matches the Rfam family "Bacterial small subunit ribosomal RNA", at positions 28 to 507 of the family's 1533-position model. The record is from RNAcentral.
GACGAACGCUGGCGGCGUGCUUAACACAUGCAAGUCGAACGGAAAGGCCCUUCGGGGUACUCGAGUGGCGAACGGGUGAGUAACACGUGGGUGAUCUGCCCUGCACUUUGGGAUAAGCCUGGGAAACUGGGUCUAAUACCGAAUAGGACCACGCGCUUCAUGGUGUGUGGUGGAAAGCUUUUGCGGUGUGGGAUGGGCCCGCGGCCUAUCAGCUUGUUGGUGGGGUAAUGGCCUACCAAGGCGACGACGGGUAGCCGGCCUGAGAGGGUGACCGGCCACACCGGGACUGAGAUACCGCCCCGACUCCCAACGGGGGCAGCAGUGGGGGAUAUUUCCACAAGGGGGCAAGCCUGAAGCAAGGACCCCGCGUUGGGGGAGACCGCCCUCCGGUUGUAAACCUCUUUCAAUAGGGACCGAGCCGAAAGUACGGUAACUAAAAGAGAAGCACCGGCCAACUACGUG